GCUUUCCUCCUCUAGACAUGAACCUGCGCAAGGCUUGUAAAUAAUUAUUACUUGUUAAAUCGCUUACCAAUUCCAAAUGAAUAGCUUUAAAAAUAAUAAUAAUAAUA
This is a long non-coding RNA of Melitaea cinxia (Glanville fritillary), 107 nucleotides long. RefSeq lists it as uncharacterized. The transcript has 3 exons. The record is from RefSeq and is a predicted model, not a curated record. Lineage: Eukaryota; Metazoa; Arthropoda; Insecta; Lepidoptera; Nymphalidae.